GUCCACGCCUAACUAUGAUCACUCGUUGUUGGCGAUACACAGUCAGCGACUAAGGGAACCAUUAAGUGAUCCACCUGGGAGUACGACCGCAAGGUUGAACUCAAGGAAUUGACGGGCCCGCACAAGCGGAGGAGCAUGUGGUUUAAUUCGAUGAUACGCGAGGAACCUUACCUGGGCUUGAAAGUUAGUGACCGCUCCUGAAAGGGAGCCUUCCGCAAGGACACGAACUAGGUGCUGCAUGGCUGUCGU
RNAcentral lists this ribosomal RNA (249 nucleotides) under uncultured bacterium. RNAcentral's name for it is "partial 16S ribosomal RNA". It matches the Rfam family "Bacterial small subunit ribosomal RNA", at positions 793 to 1055 of the family's 1533-position model. The record is from RNAcentral.